This 73-nucleotide transfer RNA is filed under the name Phytopythium vexans DAOM BR484. RNAcentral describes it as "Pythium vexans DAOM BR484 tRNA-Val for anticodon UAC". It matches the Rfam family "tRNA". Rfam says of the family: Transfer RNA (tRNA) molecules are approximately 80 nucleotides in length. Their secondary structure includes four short double-helical elements and three loops (D, anti-codon, and T loops). The record is from RNAcentral. Lineage: Eukaryota; Oomycota; Peronosporomycetes; Pythiales; Pythiaceae.
GUCGACGUGGUGUAGUGGUUAUCACGUCUGCUUUACACGCAGUAGGUCGCUGGUUCGAACCCGGCCGUUGACA